UGGGGAAUAUUGGACAAUGGGCGAAAGCCUGAUCCAGCCAUGCCGCGUGUGUGAAGAAGGUCUUCGGAUUGUAAAGCACUUUAAGUUGGGAGGAAGGGCAGUAAGCGAAUACCUUGCUGUUUUGACGUUACCGACAGAAUAAGCACCGGCUAACUCUGUGCCAGCAGCCGCGGUAAUACAGAGGGUGCAAGCGUUAAUCGGAAUUACUGGGCGUAAAGCGCGCGUAGGUGGUUCGUUAAGUUGAAUGUGAAAGCCCCGGGCUCAACCUGGGAACUGCAUCCAAAACUGGCGAGCUAGAGUAGGGCAGAGGGUGGUGGAAUUUCCUGUGUAGCGGUGAAAUGCGUAGAUAUAGGAAGGAACACCAGUGGCGAAGGCGACCACCUGGGCUCAUACUGACACUGAGGUGCGAAAGUGUGGGGAGCAAACAGG
RNAcentral lists this ribosomal RNA (429 nucleotides) under Pseudomonadota bacterium. RNAcentral describes it as "Proteobacteria bacterium partial 16S ribosomal RNA". It matches the Rfam family "Bacterial small subunit ribosomal RNA", at positions 355 to 776 of the family's 1533-position model. Lineage: Bacteria; Pseudomonadati; Pseudomonadota. The record is from RNAcentral.